RNAcentral lists this ribosomal RNA (507 nucleotides) under uncultured bacterium. Its description in RNAcentral is "bacterial SSU rRNA". It matches the Rfam family "Bacterial small subunit ribosomal RNA", at positions 10 to 507 of the family's 1533-position model. The record is from RNAcentral.
AGUUUGAUCAUGGCUCAGAGUGAACGCUGGCGGCAGGCCUAAUACAUGCAAGUCGAACGGCAGCACAGCAGAGCUUGCUCUGUGGGUGGCGAGUGGCGGACGGGUGAGGAAUACGUGGGAAUCUGCCCAGUCGUGGGGAUAACGUAGGGAAACUUACGCUAAUACCGCAUGCGCCCUUCGGGGGAAAGCCGGGGACCUUCGGGCCUGGCGCGAUUGGAUGAGCCCACGUCGGAUUAGCUAGUUGGCGGGGUAAAGGCCCACCAAGGCGACGAUCCGUAGCUGGUCUGAGAGGAUGAUCAGCCACACUGGAACUGAGACACGGUCCAGACUCCUACGGGAGGCAGCAGUAGGGAAUAUUGGACAAUGGGCGCAAGCCUGAUCCAGCCAUGCCGCGUGAGUGAAGAAGGCCCUCGGGUUGUAAAGCUCUUUUGUCCGGAAAGAAAAGCGCCGGGUUAAUACCCUGGUGUCCUGACGGUACCGGAAGAAUAAGCACCGGCUAACUUCGUG